AGUUACAAGCCAAAAAAUAAUACAGACCAAACCAACGUGGCCCAACUUGUUUUAACAUAAAUUACCCAAACAUUUAUCCCUGGCCCAAAGCACAACGCAGCCCAAAAUGUAAAACAGUAGAUCAGAAAACCCUAGGUAGCACCCAGCUCCCAGCGCCGCAAUCAGCCCCUGGCCUCGCAUGCGCGCCACUGCCACUCUCGUGCCCCCGUACAUCUCCAGCUGGACUCCUCCGUACCCGUACCUGCAAGAAAGACACAGCAAACGCAACGGACGGAAAAAUAGCACAAAAAUUGAGCGAAAAAUGGUAAUAGCGGAGAGAAAAAGAAAAACUAAAUAGGGGUUUUGGUAUUUCCUUUUGGCUAUAACAAAGCCAUUACAAAAAUCUUGUAAAGGGGUGGGGGGGAAGAAAAAAACAACACACAUAUUGUAUCAGAAAAAUCAAUACAAAAAAUCAAAAGAGGUGAUUUUUUUGAAUCGCUCUCUUGCUUCUUCCGUUUUCUUUUUCCUUUUUUCUUUUUCGGUUUUCUUUUCGGUUUUGGUUUUGAUUCAUUUUUGAAUAAAAGAAUAAAGAACAAAGAUUAAAAGGGAGGGAAGUUACCUUGUGGUCGGGUCCUUGCCCUCUCCGUCGUCAUCGGAGUGUUGGCUAGGUCCGAAGAGUCCUUGAAUGGACGAUACACAGAGUGGCGCAUGCAGGAGGAGAUGGUUUAGGUUUUUUAGUUUGAUUUGU
RNAcentral lists this long non-coding RNA (727 nucleotides) under Gossypium barbadense (sea-island cotton). RNAcentral describes it as "long non-coding RNA (GBAR_LNC015775)". The record is from RNAcentral. Lineage: Eukaryota; Viridiplantae; Streptophyta; Magnoliopsida; Malvales; Malvaceae.